This 2756-nucleotide long non-coding RNA is filed under the name Cinara cedri. The record is from RNAcentral. Lineage: Eukaryota; Metazoa; Arthropoda; Insecta; Hemiptera; Aphididae.
AAAAAAAAGGCAUAAGUGGGUGAAAUAUCACGAUUUAAAAAUGCUUAAAUCUCCCUUAACAAUUUAAAUAACGAAAAAAAACCAAUGAUACAAUUUGUCAAUUUGCUCUAAUAUUUAAACUAACAGCAUAGUUUUCCCUGUUGAACGAAAAAUUUGCUGUGUCACGAGGUUGUCACGAGAUUCAUUUAAGUGGGUACACUCGAUAUCUCGGAAAUUAUUUACUUUUUAAAAUAUUUUCUCUCUUUGAAAAUUUAAGAAAUAAACUGCUCUAAAAUUUAACAUUUAUAUUAUUUUUUAUCACCCAAAUUUUUAGGGGUGAAACGACUACCUACUUUUGAUUUUCAAAAGGCAACCUAUAUUAAAAAUUCCAUAAAUAGAUGGAGUUUUAAUUAAUAUAAAUUUUGAUGUUUAAAUUUUUAAUUUCCGUCAAUCCGCUGGCGAAUUAUAACUUCUUAAAGUCUCAAUACCUAUUGGAUUUAAUUUUGAAAUACAUUUUUUUGUAAACACCAGUAGCUAUAAGUGAUAAAUUCGCUAUCAUUUAAACUAAGGUAGGUAACAAUAUUGAUGAUUAUUAUUUUACUUUGUAUCCCAAUGAUUUAUUUUAUCUGUGAAAUUAUUAUAGCAUUUAUUAUUAAACAGUUUUUCGUUAAUGAUAAGAUCUCGGUAUCGUGAUUUGCGAUCCGGUAACAUAUUAAUAUCAUACUAACUGCAUACAAUUCUACCCAACGUCGUGUCUUGGCAGUUAUUUCGAAUAUAAUAGCUUUUUAUCACGACUAUAGAUAGUAUUUAGUCCUAACCUCGUCCGACAACGGCAAAACGUCGCGGUGAAGAUGGGAAUAGCCAUAGAAAAGGUACAUGCAAGCGUGCGCGCGGUAAACGUCACAUUACCUCCCCCUUGGGAAAAAUAAAUUCACUCGUCUCUGAUAAUAUGACCGAGAAAGAUCAGCUGAUUCGCGUUUGCUUAGGUUAAUCGCUAUGCCAGAAUACUGCAACCGACCGAGAACAGCACACAAGUGUGCUCCAGGCUCGGGCACGGUUCGUAACGCGAUAAGUACGUCGUCGAUAUAAGCGAACGCGAAAUCGAAACCACGGAGAAAGUUAUUAACGAAACGUUGAAAAAUCUGUGCGGCGUUUUUUAGACCGAAACGCAUCACGGGGAACUCAAAUAAACCGAAAGGUGUCGUCACAGCGGUUUUCGGCACGUCACAUAGUGCGACAGGAAUCUGGAGGUAUGCGCAUACCGAAUUAAGUUUUGAAAAUAAAGUUUUACCGUAGAGAUUACCUGUGAAAUCAUGCGGAAGAUGCUACACGUCCGGCCUGGUAACGGUAUUCAAUCAUCAGUAGUCGCCACACGGGCGAAAUGAACCGUCCUUCCUUUCUACCAGCAAAAUGGGACUAGCCUACGGAUUCCUUCCGAGCGGCGGCGAGGCGAUCCAGAUCGAGGUGACGAGGACGAGCGAAUAACGGAGGGCCGGUCGUUGGCAAAACGCGCUCGACACUAUGUGCUAUUUACGUGCAAUUCCCGGAAAACCGGCGACUGAAUCAGUCCACAUACGUUGCUGUGACUACACACACACAGGCGUCGCGACGACGAUUUUCGACGUGAUCUCGGAAUUCGAAUCGAUAAGGCGAUUACGACGAAUGCCGAUUAAAAGGCCAAAACAGUGGAGAAAAUCCGCGCCGAUAAUACUUCUAGAAACGCCGGCGAUCUCAAAGGUCUCCAGCUAAACGGCCUCAAAAGUCCCAAUUCGAGUUGGAGGAGCCUUCGACCGUAAGUGCGGAUAUGGGUGCCAUUAGCGACGGUAAGGGCCACAUUCGAAAAAGAUAGCCGUCCGGCGGAUGGCGGGAUAAUCGAAAUAUCGGCCCCAGAGUCGAUCAGGAACCGCCGGCUGGAGCGCGUGUGCGACACGAAAACGCGAGGACGUCCGGGCCGAUUAGGUCGGACACGGACCUGACUCCUUCUUCGUCAAGUGCGGCGACUACGUGGUUCGCUUUGAAAACGUUUGACCGUAAGCGUAGGUUCGAGAAAACAGCCUCGGUAUGGAUAAACCAUACUCGCGACGAGUGUUGCCAUAGAACGCUUUUCAGAACGCUACUGAAAUACCUUCAUUUGACAUUGGACCUUCGGGAAGUAGCACCUUAAACGAGGAAUAAACGUUAAUCAAAGAAGGUGGCGAUUCGUUAUCGGGCGUGAAAAGAUCGCGACACGGAGUCCCACUGGCCAUGGCGAUACGUAUCGGCUAGUCGAGAAAUCGAGAGUUUGAGCGAGAAUAAGAAAGAAAAAUCAUCACGUCGAGAUCACUGACUUUGGUGGUCGGGUGUACGUGGGUCGGUUUACCCAAAGCCACCAGCUAACCCGGUUCAAGGAACUCGGGUGAUAUAAACCAAUAUGCUUAAUUAAUUUUUGUUUCUUUAAAACGAUAAAUAUUAUUUAUUGCUCCAUAAAUACAAAUGAAAAUAGUAAAAAUAAAUUUUAAGACUAAUUAUAAAAUACAAAAUAUAAAAGAUUUUCACGUAGAAAAACUGUGGUUAGUAUCGGAGGCGAUGGGUCAGCGAACUGUGCCGAAUGACGGCAGCGAUGAGAGUGUGAAAUGAAAAAGGCAGGUGCUUCGGCCGCGUCCGAUGACGGCAAAAGGUCGUGGUGAAGGUCGCAGCGUUGAAUAUGGCAAUUGUCAUAGAAAUGAUUGUACACGUGAGCGUGCGUGGGGAAACGCGACAAUAUUAUUGUUUAAGUUUUUAAUUUAUGAUAAUGUUAA